GACGAACGCUGGCGGCGUGCUUAACACAUGCAAGCCGAGCGACUGCAUUCUUUUCGGAGGGUGUAUGGAGCGGCGAACGGGUGAGUAACACGUGAGUAAUCUGCCUUUGGCUUGGGAAUAACUUCGGGAAAUCGGGGCUAAUGCCUGAUGUUUACUGUCUGCUGCAUGGUGGGUGGUGGAAAGAUUUUUUGGCCAGGGAUGAGCUCGCGGUCUAUCAGCUGUUGGUGGGGUAAUGGCUUACCAAGGCUUUGACGGGUAGCCGGCCUGAGAGGGUGUUCGGCCACACUGGGACUGAGACACGGCCCAGACUCCUACGGGAGGCAGCAGUGAGGAAUAUUGGUCAAUGGGCGCAAGCCUG
Molecule: ribosomal RNA, 358 nt
Filed under: uncultured bacterium
Lineage: Bacteria
Description: bacterial SSU rRNA
Rfam family: Bacterial small subunit ribosomal RNA
Source: RNAcentral